AUUGAACGCUGGCGGCAGGCCUAACACAUGCAAGUCGAGCGGAUGAAGGGAGCUUUCUCCUGGAUUCAGCGGCGGACGGGCGAGUAAUGCCUAGGAAUCUGCCCUGCCGUUGGGGAUAACGUCCGGAAACGGGCGCUAAUACCGCAUCCGUUCUGAGGGAGAAAGGGGGGGAUCUUCGGUCCACACGCUAUCAGAUGUGCCUAGGUCGGAUUAGCUAGUUGGUGGGGUAAAGGCUUACCAAGGCGACGAUCCGUAACUGGUCUGAGAGGAUGAUCAGUCACACUGGAACUGAGACACGGUCCAGACUCCUACGGGAGGCAGCAGUGGGGAAUAUUGGACAAUGGGCGAAAGCCUGAUCCAGCCAUGCCGCGUGUGUGAAGAAGGUCUUCGGAUUGUAAAGCACUUUAAGUUGGGAGGAAGGGCAGUAAGUUUAUACCUUGCUGUUUUGACGUUACCAACAGAAUAAGCACCGGCUAACUUCGUG
RNAcentral lists this ribosomal RNA (484 nucleotides) under uncultured bacterium. RNAcentral describes it as "partial 16S ribosomal RNA". It matches the Rfam family "Bacterial small subunit ribosomal RNA", at positions 30 to 507 of the family's 1533-position model. The record is from RNAcentral.